GGGGGCGUAAAGGUUUCGACGGGAAGUUCUUUUAAAAGACAGCAAGCAGACUUUGAUUAAAAGUCUCAAAACAUAAUCAAAACUUAAGCGUCAAUAAAUAUGAUGCUCCAGCGUACGCUUAUUUAGCUUAAACUGGUGUCUACUAGCUUGAUUCUCGACCGAACUAGAUAGGCAUAAACCAGUCGAGAUUGACCAAAAGCUUUCGAUUUAAAGUUUUCGGUUAAAAAAUAAAAAUCUUACUCUAAUUCGUCCUGUUGGUUGGUAAGAAUUAGAGGAAAUAAAAUAAACCAAAUAAGCUUGUAGAAGUCUUUUAGUUGACUUUUCGGACGCGGGUUCAAUUCCCGCCGCCUCCACUC
This 356-nucleotide transfer-messenger RNA is filed under the name Patescibacteria group. RNAcentral's name for it is "RBG-16-42-24 sp001792115 Standard tmRNA". It matches the Rfam family "transfer-messenger RNA". Rfam says of the family: Bacterial tmRNA, also known as 10Sa RNA or SsrA, is named for its dual tRNA and mRNA-like properties. The record is from RNAcentral. RNAcentral also lists the same sequence under 3 other names.